AUGAGAUUAGUCCCGGUUCUGUCGGCGUUAGCCAUGGUGUCGUUGGGCUUCGUCCUCGGCUUCUCUUUCCCGGCAUCGAUGACGCCCAAUCUUCAGUGUGGCGUACUGCCUUGGAGCGGCAGCACCAACUCCAGCUCCAGUGAGAGCUUCCUCGGGAGACUCUGGGCACCAUUACUCAGGAACAGCAGUAGCACCUCAAAUGCCACCUCAGGGAUUGUUAAUGUUGCAAGGAGACCAGAAGGCGCAGGGAGGUUACCGCCGGGCAUCGUGGUUUCGGAGUCCGACCUUCACCUGCGCCGGCUGUGGGGAUCCCCGACUCAGGACGCGCCGGUUCGGAAGUACCUCCUCACAAUGGCGGUAGGGCACAAGGAGAGGGCCAAUGUCAAUGCAACCGUUCACAAGUUCUCGGACAAGUUCGACGUGGUGCUGUUCCACUACGACGGCCACACGACGGAGUGGGACGACGACUUCCACUGGUCCAAGGAGGCCGUCCACGUCAGCGCCAGGAAGCAGACCAAAUGGUGGUUCGCCAAGAGGUUCCUCCACCCGAGCGUCGUGGCGCCGUACGCCUACGUGUUCCUGUGGGACGAGGACCUCGGCGUCGAGAACUUCAACGCCGAAGCGUACAUUGACAUCGUGAAGAAGCACGGGCUGGAGAUCUCGCAGCCGGGGCUGGACUCGACCAAGGGGAAGUCGGCGUACAAGGUCUCCGUCAAGAGAAACUCCGGCGAGAUGCACAAGACGGAUGCAGGGGGGAAGUGGUGCCCCGACGUACACAAGCGGCCGUGCAGCGGGUUCGUGGAGGUGAUGGCGCCGGUCUUCUCCAGGGAUGCUUGGAGAUGCGUGUGGCAUAUGAUCCAGAAUGAUCUGGUUCAUGGAUGGGGUCUCGACUACAACUUCUGGAGAUGUGUCGAUGACCCUGAAGAGCAAUUUGGCAUCGUGGAUGCACAAUAUGUUGUCCAUCAUGGAGUCCCCACACUCAAAGAUCAGGGUAACGGAGAAAAGCAAGGAAGCAGGGCUAAGAUUAAAGACCGGCAAUACGAGGAGUGGCACGCCUUUGACUCAAGACUUGACAAUGCCGACAAGGAGCUGGCCAACUCUACUGCUAGAUCAUCAUCCCAACCCUAA
Molecule: ribosomal RNA, 1128 nt
Filed under: Triticum aestivum (bread wheat)
Lineage: Eukaryota; Viridiplantae; Streptophyta; Magnoliopsida; Poales; Poaceae
Description: partial small subunit ribosomal RNA
Source: RNAcentral